RNAcentral lists this ribosomal RNA (492 nucleotides) under uncultured bacterium. RNAcentral describes it as "partial 16S ribosomal RNA". It matches the Rfam family "Bacterial small subunit ribosomal RNA", at positions 29 to 507 of the family's 1533-position model. The record is from RNAcentral.
AGUGAACGCUGGCGGCAGGCCUAACACAUGCAAGUCGAACGGCAACACAGUGAGAGCUUGCUCCUACGGGUGGCGAGUGGCGGACGAGUGAGGAGUACAUAAGCAUCUUAUUUUUCGUGGAUGAUAUCGUAGGGCCACUUACGCUAAUACAGCAUAUGACCUACGGCUGAGAGCAAGGGAUCUUCACACCUUGCCCGAUUCUAUGAGACGACGGCGCAUUAGCUAGUUGGCGGGGUAAAGGCCCACCAAGGCGACGAUCCGUAGCCGGUCUGAGAGGAUGAUCAGCCACACUGGAACUGAGACACGGUCCAGACUCCUACGGGAGGCAGCAGUGGGGAAUAUUGGACAAUGGGCGCAAGCCUGAUCCAGCCAUGCCGCGUGGGUGAAGAAGGCCUUCGGGUCGUAAAGCCCUUUUGUUGGGAAAGAACAGCAGCAGGUUAAUACCCCGCUGUUCUGACGGUACCCAAAGAAUAAGCACCGGCUAACUUCGUG